This 472-nucleotide ribosomal RNA is filed under the name uncultured organism. RNAcentral's name for it is "partial 16S ribosomal RNA". It matches the Rfam family "Bacterial small subunit ribosomal RNA", at positions 333 to 797 of the family's 1533-position model. The record is from RNAcentral.
ACACUCCUGCGGGAGGCAGCAGUGGGGAAUAUUGCACAAUGGGCGCAAGCCUGAUGCAGCCAUGCCGCGUGUAUGAAGAAGGCCUUCGGGUUGUAAAGUACUUUCAGCGGGGAGGAAGGCGAUAAGGUUAAUAACCUUGUUGAUUGACGUUACCCGCAGAAGAAGCACCGGCUAACUCCGUGCCAGCAGCCGCGGUAAUACGGAGGGUGCAAGCGUUAAUCGGAAUUACUGGGCGUAAAGCGCACGCAGGCGGUCUGUCAAGUCGGAUGUGAAAUCCCCGGGCUCAACCUGGGAACUGCAUUCGAAACUGGCAGGCUAGAGUCUUGUAGAGGGGGGUAGAAUUCCAGGUGUAGCGGUGAAAUGCGUAGAGAUCUGGAGGAAUACCGGUGGCGAAGGCGGCCCCCUGGACAAAGACUGACGCUCAGGUGCGAAAGCGUGGGGAGCAAACAGGAUUAGAUACCCUAGUAGUCCC